CUGAGAUUAUAACUUAUGAAACUGGCUCCCUGUGAAGUGUAAUUGUAAAUUUCCUUAGUCUGUAAAUUUAUUGUGGACUAUUUCUUAAGGUGAAGAACAAGCUGCCAUGAGGAUGCAAGUGGAAAGAGAUAUACAAAAGAAAACAGCAAAAAAAGUUAGAAAAGCAAGACAUUGCACAAAAUGUAAACUUCCUAUGCAAGGACACCCCAAAUAUCAGUGUCCUUUGCCUGAAUGCACAAGUUAACUUUGUUGAUUAAAAUUGUGAGUUGAGUGGUUUUUGGACUUUUAUAGCAUAGGGACAUAUAAAUAAUGACUUGGAUUGGAUUUAGUCAAGAGUUUGUUCUGUAAUUGUUUGACCCACACACACACAGAAUCCCCCCCCCCUGUGAUGGACAGAACAGUGAAGGCUUAAACCUUAAUAAAUUCCAUAUAAAGUCCGGUUUCAUCCCCAAUAUCUUGUAAGCACGGAUUCUAGGCUACCCCCUUCACGGAACAAGUCCACAAUGCAGCACAAAAACUAUUCAUCGACAAUCCCCGAGGGUACAUUUGACUUACUCAUAAUUGGGAGACCAGACUGCUUGAACCCACAACAUUUAGCAGUGUGUUGAUUGACUACUUACACAAGUAUUAACUCUCCUUGGUGGAGGAAAAUGUGCAGGCGUAUUAUGUGGUCUAUAAAUGUGUCGCCGACACCUGCACAUGUAUUUUUAAUUGAUAAGAUAACUAACAGCCUCUGCAUGGGAGAGGUAUGAACUCAAAAUAUGCUCAGUUAUUGUUCAGCAGUACUUCUUUCCUGUCCUGGCACAUAUCCUCCCAGUUGUGCACUGGCAUAGUGUUUCCUGAUUUCACUGUACAAACAAGCAGGAAGUGGCCUAGUGUUUUCAAAACCCAUGUACCCCCAAAGCCAUUUUGCCAGCCAUCUAUAAGUAACUGCACGUAAAUACCUAUGAUAAAUGAGAAAAAAUCACAAGUUGGAACCCCUUUGAAAGUACAAAAACAUGGAUGGCCAUUUAAAUUGACUUGAACUAUACUGGUAUUUAUACAGUUCGUCGUGUGCUUACUCAUUUUCCGUGGCCCCUGUUUGCCUUUUGUAACGUUUGCCAUUCUUGUCUCUUAACAGUGGCGCUACCUCGGUCAAGACAGCACGAUGCGUUAGGUGGCUAUAGUCUUCGUGUUCAACUAUGCAUCCAGCAUCUAAACCGAUGAAAGUGAACUUCUCAACGGCUUCAGC
This is a non-coding RNA of Paramuricea clavata, 1231 nucleotides long. The record is from the annotation of a GenBank genome assembly. NCBI's taxonomy places the organism in Eukaryota, Metazoa, Cnidaria, Anthozoa, Malacalcyonacea, Plexauridae.